GUAACACGUAGGUAACCUGCCCAUGUGCCCGGGAUAACUUCUGGAAACGGAUGCUAAAACCGGAUAGGUAGCAGACAAGCAUUUGACUGCUAUUAAAGUGGCUAAGGCCAUGAACAUGGAUGGACCUGCGGUGCAUUAGCUAGUUGGUGAGGUAACGGCCCACCAAGGCGACGAUGCAUAGCCGGCCCUGAGAGGGCGGACGGCCACAUUGGGACUGAGACACGGUCCAGACUCCUACGGGAGGCAGCAUG
This 251-nucleotide ribosomal RNA is filed under the name uncultured bacterium. RNAcentral's name for it is "partial 16S ribosomal RNA". It matches the Rfam family "Bacterial small subunit ribosomal RNA", at positions 110 to 353 of the family's 1533-position model. The record is from RNAcentral.